Molecule: ribosomal RNA, 490 nt
Filed under: Diaporthe sp. DEN 009
Lineage: Eukaryota; Fungi; Ascomycota; Sordariomycetes; Diaporthales; Diaporthaceae
Description: eukaryotic LSU rRNA
Rfam family: 5.8S ribosomal RNA (bases 148-301)
Source: RNAcentral
CCCUUUGUGACUUAUACCUUACUGUUGCCUCGGCGCAGGCCGGCCUCUACUGCUGAGGCCCCCCGGAGACGGGGAGCAGCCCGCCGGCGGCCAACCAAACUCUUGUUUCUACAGUGAAUCUCUGAGUAAAAAACAUAAAUGAAUCAAAACUUUCAACAACGGAUCUCUUGGUUCUGGCAUCGAUGAAGAACGCAGCGAAAUGCGAUAAGUAAUGUGAAUUGCAGAAUUCAGUGAAUCAUCGAAUCUUUGAACGCACAUUGCGCCCUCUGGUAUUCCGGAGGGCAUGCCUGUUCGAGCGUCAUUUCAACCCUCAAGCCUGGCUUGGUGUUGGGGCACUGCCUGUAAAAGGGCAGGCCCUGAAAUCUAGUGGCGAGCUCGCUAGGACCCCGAGCGUAGUAGUUAUAUCUCGUUCUGGAAGGCCCUGGCGGUGCCCUGCCGUUAAACCCCCAACUUCUGAAAUUUUGACCUCGGAUCAGGUAGGAAUACCCGC